UAGUCCGCGCCGUAAACGAUGUCAACUAGCCGUUGGAGAACUUGAUUCUUUAGUGGCGCAGCUAACGCGAUAAGUUGACCGCCUGGGGAGUACGGCCGCAAGGUUAAAACUCAAAUGAAUUGACGGGGGCCCGCACAAGCGGUGGAGCAUGUGGUUUAAUUCGAUGCAACGCGCAGAACCUUACCAGGUCUUGACAUCCCGAGAAGUCGCUAGAGAUAGCUUCGUGCCUUCGGGAACUCGGUGACAGGUGCUGCAUGGCUGUCGUCAACUCGUGUCGUGAGAUGUUGGGUUAAGUCCCGUAACGAGCGCAACCCUUGUCCUUUGUUGCCAGCACGUCAUGGUGGGAACUCAAAGGAGACUGCCGGUGACAAACCGGAGGAAGGUGGGGACGACGUCAAGUCAUCAUGGCCCUUACGACCUGGGCUACACACGUGCUACAAUGGCCGGUACAAAGGGCAGCAAAGCGGUGACGUGGAGCCAAUCCCAUAAAACCGGUCGUAGUCCGGAUCGGAGUCUGCAA
RNAcentral lists this ribosomal RNA (520 nucleotides) under uncultured bacterium. RNAcentral's name for it is "bacterial SSU rRNA". It matches the Rfam family "Bacterial small subunit ribosomal RNA", at positions 791 to 1310 of the family's 1533-position model. The record is from RNAcentral.